RNAcentral lists this ribosomal RNA (245 nucleotides) under uncultured Terriglobus sp. Its description in RNAcentral is "partial 16S ribosomal RNA". It matches the Rfam family "Bacterial small subunit ribosomal RNA", at positions 524 to 768 of the family's 1533-position model. The record is from RNAcentral. Lineage: Bacteria; Pseudomonadati; Acidobacteriota; Terriglobia; Terriglobales; Acidobacteriaceae.
UACGAGGGGGGCAAGCGUUGUUCGGAAUUAUUGGGCGUAAAGGGUGCGUAGGCGGUUUGGCAAGUCUAGUGUGAAAUCUUCGGGCUCAACUCGAAGUCUGCACUGGAAACUGCCGGGCUUGAGUAUGGGAGAGGUGAGUGGAAUUUCCGGUGUAGCGGUGAAAUGCGUAGAUAUCGGAAGGAACACCUGUGGCGAAAGCGGCUCACUGGACCAUUACUGACGCUGAGGUACGAAAGCUAGGGGAG